RNAcentral lists this ribosomal RNA (506 nucleotides) under uncultured bacterium. Its description in RNAcentral is "bacterial SSU rRNA". It matches the Rfam family "Bacterial small subunit ribosomal RNA", at positions 419 to 919 of the family's 1533-position model. The record is from RNAcentral.
CGGGUUGUAAACCACUUUUGGCGGGGGCAAAAUAUCGAGUGCUAAUACCAUUCGGUGAUGACGGUACCCGCAGAAUAAGCACCGGCUAACUACGUGCCAGCAGCCGCGGUAAUACGUAGGGUGCAAGCGUUAAUCGGAAUUACUGGGCGUAAAGCGUGCGCAGGCGGUUAGGUAAGACAGAUGUGAAAUUCCCGGGCUCAACCUGGGAACUGCAUUUGAGACUGCCUGACUAGAGUGCGGCAGAGGGGAGUGGAAUUCCGCGUGUAGCAGUGAAAUGCGUAAAUAUGCGGAGGAACACCAAUGGCGAAGGCAACUCCCUGGGCCUGCACUGACGCUCAUGCACAAAAGCGUGGGGAGCAAACACGAUUAAAUACCCUGGUAGUCCACGCCCUAAACGAUGUCUACUAGUUGUUGGUCAGGCUACUGUUUUUAACCUGGCUAACACGUGAACUCGACCGCCUGGGGAGUACGGCCGCAAGGUUAAAACUCUAAUGAAUUGACGGGGG